RNAcentral lists this ribosomal RNA (166 nucleotides) under Ceratocystis albifundus. RNAcentral describes it as "5.8S ribosomal RNA". The stretch from base 1 to 93 matches the Rfam family "5.8S ribosomal RNA", at positions 62 to 154 of the family's 154-position model. Rfam says of the family: 5.8S ribosomal RNA (5.8S rRNA) is a component of the large subunit of the eukaryotic ribosome. It is transcribed by RNA polymerase I as part of the 45S precursor that also contains 18S and 28S rRNA. Functionally, it is thought that 5.8S rRNA may be involved in ribosome translocation. Lineage: Eukaryota; Fungi; Ascomycota; Sordariomycetes; Microascales; Ceratocystidaceae. The record is from RNAcentral.
GUAAUGUGAAUUGCAGAAUUCAGUGAAUCAUCGAAUCUUUGAACGCACAUUGNNCCUGGNAGUAUUCUGCCAGGCAUGCCUGUNCGAGCGUCAUUUCACCACUCAAGACUUGCUUUAGUUUUGGUGUUGGAGGUCCUGUUCUUACCCUUCCGAACAGGCCGCCGAA